This 111-nucleotide microRNA precursor is filed under the name Cephalotus follicularis. RNAcentral's name for it is "mir-166 microRNA precursor family". It matches the Rfam family "mir-166 microRNA precursor family". Rfam says of the family: This family represents the plant microRNA (miRNA) precursor mir-166. Animal miRNAs are transcribed as ~70nt precursors and subsequently processed by the Dicer enzyme to give a ~22nt product. In plants the precursor sequences may be longer, and the carpel factory (caf) enzyme appears to be involved in processing. The record is from Rfam by way of RNAcentral. Lineage: Eukaryota; Viridiplantae; Streptophyta; Magnoliopsida; Oxalidales; Cephalotaceae.
GUUGAGGGGAAUGUUGUCUGGUUCGAAGUCAUUCAUAUGAUCAUGAAACGCAAGCAGCUAGCAUGCAUCAUUGAAUUGAAUGAUUUCGGACCAGGCUUCAUUCCCCCCAAC